RNAcentral lists this non-coding RNA (831 nucleotides) under Linuparus trigonus. Lineage: Eukaryota; Metazoa; Arthropoda; Malacostraca; Decapoda; Palinuridae. The record is from RNAcentral.
AAAAAGUUUGAUUCUUGCUUGAAUUUUUGCUUUGAGACCUGGAAAAUAUAUGCAAGUGAGGGCAUAAAGAUAAAUGUGGGAUUUAAUAUCUAUUUUAUAUAGUAGUUAAAGCAGUUAGUAUUAAGGGGCAGUAUAUAAGCUUUAUGUAUUAGUGAAAACUAGAUUAAGCAAGGUGUUUUGAAGAUCCGGUUAAAAUUUGUGCCAGCAGCCGCGGUUAUACUAAAGGGUCAAGUUAAAAUGUGUUAGAGAUAAUAGUUAAGAUGGGGAUUAGUAGGGUUUAGAGUUAUUUUAUCAAAAGGUGAAAUUUAUGGGCUAUAGCAUAACUUUAAGAUUAAGCUAAUUUAUUUUGAAGCUAAAAAUAUCUGGGUAUGGACUAGGAUUAGAUACCCUAUUACACCAGAGGAUAAUAGGAAAAAGCUAGAGUAGUAAGAGUAAAUGAGCUCGAAAUUCAAAGAAUUUGGCGGUAUUUUAGUCUAGUUGGAGGAACCUGUUUUAUAAACGAUACACCACGUAAAAUUUUUCUUAUUCUUGUAAAGUUAGUAUACCUUCAUUAUUAGAUAAUAUUGAGAGAUAUUGUUGGAAUCAAAGUUUUUGAGUAUAUUAGAUCACGGUGCUGCCUAUGAAUAAGUAUAAAUGGGUUACAAUAAAAAUUUAUUUAGACGGAGCUAGGAGUUAAAUUUCUAGUGAAGGGGGAUUCAAUUGUAAUCUAGAAUUUAGUAAGGCUGGAUGGUAAUAGCUCUAGAAUGUGUACAUAUUGCCCGUCGCUUUCAUCAGUGUAGAUGAGAUAAGUCGUAACAUAGUAGGGGUACUGGAAGGUGUCCCUAGAAGAUA